Molecule: ribosomal RNA, 253 nt
Filed under: uncultured bacterium
Lineage: Bacteria
Description: partial 16S ribosomal RNA
Rfam family: Bacterial small subunit ribosomal RNA
Source: RNAcentral
UACAGAGGGUGCAAGCGUUGUUCGGAAUUACUGGGCGUAAAGGGCUCGUAGGUGGCCAACUAAGUCGGACGUGAAAUCCCUCGGCUUAACCGGGGAACUGCGUCCGAUACUGGUUGGCUUGAGUUUGGGAGAGGGAUGCGGAAUUCCAGGUGUAGCGGUGAAAUGCGUAGAUAUCUGGAGGAACACCGGUGGCGAAGGCGGCUCCCUGGGCCGGUCCUGACGCUGAGGCGCGAAAGCGUGGGGAGCGAUCCGG